CUCACUGGUCUUUCUCUUACAUACAUAACAUAACAUAACAUUCCAAUAUGCCAGGGACGUAGAAUGGGCCUCACUGGUCUUUCUCUUAACAUAGUCCAGGGGAGUAGAAUGGGCCUCACUGGCAAUCCAUACCGUAUCAUCAUCAUAUCAUACCAUAGGAGGACUAGAGGAUCAUUCAAUAGCCAAUCCGCAUCCACAUCAUAUUAUGCAAUGCAACAUAUUCGUGAAUACUAAUGCAAACAACCUAAAAUAUCACAUGGC
This 261-nucleotide long non-coding RNA is filed under the name Manihot esculenta (cassava). RNAcentral's name for it is "long non-coding RNA (MESC_LNC006995)". The record is from RNAcentral. Lineage: Eukaryota; Viridiplantae; Streptophyta; Magnoliopsida; Malpighiales; Euphorbiaceae.